RNAcentral lists this ribosomal RNA (151 nucleotides) under Serratia liquefaciens. Its description in RNAcentral is "partial 16S ribosomal RNA". It matches the Rfam family "Bacterial small subunit ribosomal RNA", at positions 1 to 147 of the family's 1533-position model. Lineage: Bacteria; Pseudomonadati; Pseudomonadota; Gammaproteobacteria; Enterobacterales; Yersiniaceae. The record is from RNAcentral.
UAAUUGAAGAGUUUGAUCAUGGCUCAGAUUGAACGCUGGCGGCAGGCCUAACACAUGCAAGUCGAGCGGUAGCACAGGGAGCUUGCUCCUGGGUGACGAGCGGCGGACGGGUGAGUAAUGUCUGGGAAACUGCCUGAUGGAGGGGGAUAAC